Molecule: ribosomal RNA, 473 nt
Filed under: uncultured organism
Description: partial 16S ribosomal RNA
Rfam family: Bacterial small subunit ribosomal RNA
Source: RNAcentral
UACACUCCUGCGGGAGGCAGCAGUGGGGAAUUUUGGCCAAUGGGCGAAAGCCUGAUCCAGCAAUGCCGCGUGAGUGAAGAAGGCCUUCGGGUUGUAAAGCUCUUUUGUCAGGGAAGAAACGGUGAGAGCUAAUAUCUCUUGCUAAUGACGGUACCUGAAGAAUAAGCACCGGCUAACUACGUGCCAGCAGCCGCGGUAAUACGUAGGGUGCAAGCGUUAAUCGGAAUUACUGGGCGUAAAGCGUGCGCAGGCGGUUUUGUAAGUCUGAUGUGAAAUCCCCGGGCUCAACCUGGGAAUUGCAUUGGAGACUGCAAGGCUAGAAUCUGGCAGAGGGGGGUAGAAUUCCACGUGUAGCAGUGAAAUGCGUAGAUAUGUGGAGGAACACCGAUGGCGAAGGCAGCCCCCUGGGUCAAGAUUGACGCUCAUGCACGAAAGCGUGGGGAGCAAACAGGAUUAGAAACCCUUGUAGUCCC